RNAcentral lists this ribosomal RNA (460 nucleotides) under uncultured bacterium. Its description in RNAcentral is "partial 16S ribosomal RNA". It matches the Rfam family "Bacterial small subunit ribosomal RNA", at positions 338 to 795 of the family's 1533-position model. The record is from RNAcentral.
CCUACGGGAGGCAGCAGUGAGGAAUAUUGGUCAAUGGACGAGAGUCUGAACCAGCCAAGUAGCGUGAAGGAUGAAUGCCCUAUGGGUUGUAAACUUCUUUUAUAAAGGAAUAAAACGAGGCACGUGUGCCUAUUUGCAUGUACUUUAUGAAUAAGGAUCGGCUAACUCCGUGCCAGCAGCCGCGGUAAUACGGAGGAUCCGAGCGUUAUCCGGAUUUGUUGGGGUUAAAGGGAGCGAAGAUGGGUUGUUAAGUCAGUUGUGAAAGUUUGCGGCUCAACCGUAAAAUUGCAAUUGAUACUGGCAGUCUUGAGUACAGUUGAGGUAGGCGGAAUUCGUGGUGUAGCGGUGAAAUGCUUAGAUAUCACGAAGAACCCCGAUUGCGAAGGCAGCUUACUAAACUGUGACUGACAUUGAUGCUCGAAAGUGUGGGUAUCAAACAGGAUUAGAUACCCCGGUAGUC